CACAGAUGUGGAAAAUUCCCUGUAGUUGAAAAUAGUGUUGCUGAGCCGCAGGGUAAUUGGUCUUUGAAGUACAAAUGUGCAAACCUUUAUGAACUACAGGGUCCAGAGACUGUGGUGUGUCACAGCAACGGAAAGUGGUCCGACUUACCCACCUGCAGAGAAAACUUCUGCUCUGUGGACACUAACGUGGAACCUGACUUAAAAAAUACUGGAGUUUCUUUCUUAGUAAACGGAGAGACAAUGGAGCUUGCUUGUGAAGAUAAGUGGAUAUUUCCAAGCUUUGCUGUAUUCCAGUGCAAAGAUCUACAACCCAUUUUAUCCAGAUGUUGUAACCGUUUCCAAAUAAGUAUAGGUAUCUGCUGAGACCAGAUCAUGAAGAUGCUGCUUUCAGAUUUGCUGAUGAAAUGUCAUCACAGAAGACUUGAGACGAUCGGUUAUGAUCACGCCCUACGUAGCUUUUCAGUCUUAAUU
Cololabis saira (Pacific saury) is the source of this 471-nucleotide long non-coding RNA. RefSeq lists it as uncharacterized. The record is from RefSeq and is a predicted model, not a curated record. The transcript is spliced from 4 exons. NCBI's taxonomy places the organism in Eukaryota, Metazoa, Chordata, Actinopteri, Beloniformes, Belonidae.